CAUCUUAAUGCAGAACAAACUUUGAAACCACAGGCAGUGGGGGUGAGAAGGAAGGAGAGCAUUAAACCCAGCCAUGAGUGGGAUUGGCCUCCCCUCUCGUCAUCCCAUCUCCCUCCCAAGCUCAUUCCUCAUGAUUCAAGCUAAUCUCACAGGCUGCAGGGCCCAGAGUGUGCAACCCUGUGCCUUCCCCCUGAAGCUGGACCAGCAGUGAAUUCUGUUCCCCAAGGCUAGACACACAGGAAUGAGGUCAGACAGGACAUUCUUAAAAUCCAGGACAUCUUCAUCCUUCAGAAAAGAAGUGGUCGUGUGCAUCCCACCAAAGCUUUGAAGGAGGAAGUACUCGCUUACCAAUUCCUGAAGGGCUGCAGUAGGAGUGGAAUGUCACCAGUGGUGCAAGGGGAAAGGAUUUCUCUGGGAACUGUGACUGUCUUUACCAUGAAAUUAGUUGAAUGCUAUUACAUCAGCCUCAUGACUAAGGACAAAAGAAUCCAGACUGUCUACCAAAAUGUUUUACUAAUCUGUCCUCCCCUCAAGGAACACAUAGGUAAAGAAAAGGGCUUCCUUUUCCACCCAGUUUGCACCAACGUGUGUAAACUAUGGCUCUGUGUGGUUAAGCAGCUACUUGCAAGUGCAGCACAGAGCAGCUGAAACGGCACACAGUGGGGACAGCAGGAGGGGCUUUUGGCACUUUUCUUGUAUUUAGAAUAAAUUUUACAAGCCCACACUCCUGAGCCUUGAGAUCACAGGGAGCAGAGGCCACUCUGAGUGCCGGAGUGCCUUCUCGAAUGGUCCCAUCUGCACCAGCUGCCUGGAGACACCGCCUGCUACCUCCAUGCUAUUCCAGGCUAGCGUCUCCAGCACCCGCCCUCCUAGCAGCCUUACCGCUCUCCAGCCUCAGAGCUAAGCCUGACCCGGCUGCCAAUCUCCAAAAUAAAAUCAAUGUGUGACCUUAUUCACCAGAUGUACGGAAGAAACAAGCACAAACGAAGGCCAACUUUGAAGCCAAAAAGGGAAGAUGAGAAGUGGGAGAGAGAGAG
Molecule: long non-coding RNA, 1037 nt
Filed under: Homo sapiens (human)
Lineage: Eukaryota; Metazoa; Chordata; Mammalia; Primates; Hominidae
Description: HSALNT0135545
Source: RNAcentral